UGGGGGGCGCGGUGUGGCAGACGAGCGCGGCGCGCACUCCUGCCGUUCGGUUCCUUCUCCUCAAAGCAAGACCCAAGGAUGGAACGCCACACGCCGUCGUCUGCACCGCCGGAGGAAGGCGAGAUUUCUUCCUUCCUGCUCCUCGGACUAGCAAAAACCGAGGGAACGAAGCAAAGAGGAAGGGACAGGCACUGCACGCGAGGUGAUCGUCCGAAGUCUCCGGUAGAACUGAACAAGACAAAACCCUGAUGUCCCUCUCUUCCCCCACAGAUCAAAAUCAACAGGAGAAGAGGCAGCCAAAAAGCUGCUAUAGUCGCCGGCGGCAUACCUGGCAAGAGCUCGCGGUCGCUCUCCGGCAGAGAAUCUCCUCCCGUUCCUUCUCCUCGAAGCAAGACCCC
RNAcentral lists this long non-coding RNA (398 nucleotides) under Spirodela polyrhiza (greater duckweed). RNAcentral's name for it is "long non-coding RNA (SPOL_LNC000818)". Lineage: Eukaryota; Viridiplantae; Streptophyta; Magnoliopsida; Alismatales; Araceae. The record is from RNAcentral.